CGGGGUGAGUAAUGUCUGGGAAACUGCCUGAUGGAGGGGGAUAACUGCUGGAAACGGUAGCUAAUACCGCAUAACGUCGCAAGACCAAAGAGGGGGACCUUCGGGCCUCUUGCCAUCGGAUGUGCCCAGAUGGGAUUAGCUAGUAGGUGGGGUAACGGCUCACCUAGGCGACGAUCCCUAGCUGGUCUGAGAGGAUGACCAGCCACACUGGGACUGAGACACGGUCCAG
This 229-nucleotide ribosomal RNA is filed under the name uncultured bacterium. RNAcentral's name for it is "partial 16S ribosomal RNA". It matches the Rfam family "Bacterial small subunit ribosomal RNA", at positions 104 to 334 of the family's 1533-position model. The record is from RNAcentral.